This 823-nucleotide long non-coding RNA is filed under the name Amborella trichopoda. Its description in RNAcentral is "long non-coding RNA (ATRI_LNC001007)". The record is from RNAcentral. Lineage: Eukaryota; Viridiplantae; Streptophyta; Magnoliopsida; Amborellales; Amborellaceae.
UGCGUAUAUACAUAUCAAUGUACAUAUACGUUAAUAACUGUAUAAACUGAUAACAAAUGUCUAUAUAACAAUAUAACUCACUGUAUAUAUAAAUGUAUAUAUGAACUUAUCAAUGCAUAAAGGUGCAUAUGCGUGCGCAUAUUAAGGCAUAUAUAACUGAUAGUAAGUAUAUAUACAUUAAUGUACAAGACCAUAUAUAUACUUAUAACCAACUUGUAUAGUUUUUAGCGUAUAUGUAUACUGAUUUAUAUACAACACACACACACAUAUAUAUACUAUAUACAUAUAUGUGUUGUGUAUGGACUGAUGUGUAUAUAUACGACAUGUUUAUGCUUGUAUGCAUACACUUGUUUGAUAUACAUUGUAUAUACACACUAAUAUGUGUACAUAGAUGCACCCUUACGCAUUGAUAAAUGUAUAUAUACUGUAUAUGUCUGUAUCUAUACACUAACACAUGCAUUCUAUGUGUACUGAUAUAUAUCACUAUGUAGAUACUUAUUAGCAAUUUACAAUAUAUAUACAAUGUUUAUAUAUACGAUAUGCAUAUACUGAUAUAUUUAUGUACCUUGAUAUGGGGACACACAUACACUCUUAUGUAUUGAAAAAUUCAUACGUACAUUUCUAUAUACACUGAUAUAUAUGACCAUAUAGACACUUAUUAUCAGUUUAUACAGUUAUUAAAGUAUAUGUACACUCACUUAUUAUCAGUUUAUACAGUUAUUAAAGUAUAUGUACACUGAUAUGUAUAUACGCACACUCAUAUGCAUAUGUAUAAUGUGUUUACAUAUAUACUAAUAUAUAAGACCAUGUGCAUACUUAUUAU